Long non-coding RNA from Ahaetulla prasina, 512 nucleotides. RefSeq lists it as uncharacterized. NCBI's taxonomy places the organism in Eukaryota, Metazoa, Chordata, Lepidosauria, Squamata, Colubridae. The record is from RefSeq and is a predicted model, not a curated record. The transcript has 5 exons.
CUCUUUUGAACAACUUCUGUCAAAAGGGAGCUGCUAUCAUACAUGAUUCCAUUAUAUCUUCUUAUAUGAGCUUCCCACAAGCAAAGUCAAUCGGGAAGACAGCAAGGAAGAUGACAAGAUGAAGUUUAACAAAUGGAUCGUUAGAGAUGCAGUCAUUGGUAUACAGAAAAAAGUGGGGAGAGCACACAGCCUUGGAGGAGCCCUGUGCUAAUUGUACAGUUGAUAAAAUGAGGACUCACAUUGUUGUGGACAAUAUGCUGAUAUUUGUAAACCGCUCAGAGAGUGCUGUAAAGCACUAUGGACCAGUAUGUUCUCACAGUUUCCGGAUACUGAGAUGAAACACUGACAGUAUCGCUUGGAUGACCAGGAGUCGAGAUGUAUCAUAUUGAUGAUUCCUAAACCCAAGUUACUGGGUGAACUUUCAAGUUUCAUGUAGAUGUUCAAUAGGAAAGUAUCAAAUUCUGUAAAAUUACUAUAAAGUAAGGGCAUAGGGUUAGAUCCACAACAAUAUU